GCACGGCUGGGCCGGCAGCUUCGGCACCUCCGCCGUGCCCCGGCUGUUCCGCCGCGGCGCCAAGCGC
RNAcentral lists this transfer RNA (67 nucleotides) under Siccirubricoccus deserti. RNAcentral's name for it is "tRNA-Arg". Lineage: Bacteria; Pseudomonadati; Pseudomonadota; Alphaproteobacteria; Acetobacterales; Roseomonadaceae. The record is from RNAcentral.